CUUACCAAUGCAUCUAAAGAUUCAACAAUGUAGAAUCCAGCACCAGUAUUGGGACUACAAAUUGUUUCUUCAUUCCUCCGUGUUGCACUGUAGGUGAUAAGGGGUCGAGGUCGUAUGUUCGUCGUGUCAUCAAUACACAUCACUUUCCUUUUCCUUUUCCCUUUUUCUGCUCUUGCAUUUAUUUCUUCUUCGCGCACCUUUCUGUCUACUGCUUUAAUAUGGUUCUGAUUGGUGCCCUGCAUAUUCCAAGAUAUAUGGAUUUUGGUCGAGACAAUCAUCACAUAAGUAAAAUGCUAUCAACCUCUCAAUUUCUGAAUGGAUUUGUUAAAUUGCCUUUCUCUUGUUGGAUCACAUACCUGAUUUGUUUGUUGUCCUUGAAGCAAAUACCAUGACAUGAGCUUGAAGAAUUCAAAGAUACAGAAGGUUGACAGAAAGAGGAUACACUGAUUUCAGCUGCGGACACUGAGCUGAGUCUCUACCUAGCAGGUAACUCACCUUUCAACAUAUUCAUUGCAGAAGCAGAAACAACGGGACACAUGACCUGAAUACUUGCAUUCUGACAUGUUUUUGCCCGUGCCUCAAAUAGGAAUGAUGUCCAUGUUGUUAACCUCUACAAGUUACCCACGCUUCAAAUAACCCAAGGUCUGGAACCCCAACAAGUUUAGUACGUAGCAAAUGUAACUUCUUCUCUAACAAAAAUAAUAAUGAGAGGCAUGCUACAGUUAGUUUACCCUGAGAAUUGAUCAUCAUAGAAACGCCGAUGUGUGCUUUGCAAAUCGACUGACCUUUUUUGUCUUCUGUGAAUAGAUGUUGAAUGCUAAUAUAAAUCUGCUAUAUGUCUCAGCAAAAAUGUGGACUUCAUAAUUUGUCUUUCAAUGGUGCAUAGUUCAAUUUUGUCUUCCUAAUUUAUACAGUAUCAGCUCAUAUGACGAUUUAUCUCAUAAAUAAGUAUUCACUCUUACAGCACCACCAUGCAUGUUUUUUACACUUCUGCAGCAGUCCAUCUCUCAAUUUUGAUUUGCAUAACCAUGCAUAUAUAGUGUAUUGAAGCAGCAAAUGGCAUUUACCAUGCUGCUAAAAUAAGCAUCAAAAUUGAAGAGUGUAUUGUACCAGUGGGAGAAGUUAAUGUUCCACGGAAUUGCUAAUCCCGUCUCGAAGGUUUAAUGUUUGUUAUUGACCUAAGAGAAAAUGGGUUCUGCAUCUCUGAUGUGAUGUAUUUCUAACAAACAGUGGCAAAAUGCACGGGUAAUUACUCUUAUAUAGUUUGAUGCUUGAAAAGUUGUAGAGUCGGCGCCUCUCUUCGAAGUGUACAUGAUGUAAUAAGAACAAAAAAUAAAGAAGCAUCUUGAGUACCAUGCCCAGAUACAGUGUUAAUGCCCACAAUUCUAUUUUGUUCCAUUAGAAAAUACAAUUAUAUUUUGUUACAUUCAGGUAAUGUUAUAUCAUGCACGUGUGUUACAUGUGUAUCUCUAUACUUUGUGCUCCAGAUUUGUUUUCCUACAAUAUGGCAGAUUAAUGUAUAUUCUUCUGAAGUCAUAGUACAUUCAUGGUCUGUAUAUAUGUUUGUAUGCUGCCAACCUGAGUCUGGUAGGCAGCGGCUGAUUUUUUUCAUUUGCUAUAUUUAUAUUUUUCAAAGCAAUUUAAUCUCUUAUCUUGCACCCGUGAUGAACCUACAAUCUAGAGCACAAGGAAACUAUAGAUAAUUUGUUCUAUUGCCUUUGUGAACUUGAUAUAUAUACAUGUAUUGUUCGUGGAAACGCAAGGGCAACGCAUGGGCACUCUACUAUAGAUAAGAGAGACAGAGGAGGAUCAGACUGAUUGGUCACUGACUGCUAUUUCUGAUAAUGUCUGUAGUGUAGGUUGAUCAGACUGUACAUACACACACAUACACCCUUAUAGUCGGAGGAUCCACGAAGAGCUAUGGAGGGGAGGGCGAGGCGGCGCGCCAGCCCGUCCGGGACGCGCACCAAGGCAGUCAGGGUGGAGCCGGAGCCGCCACCAACGACCAAGAGGCAUGGGCCAGGGAUGAGGGCGGCGGUGGUGUACUACCUCUGCCGCAGCCACCACCUAGAGCACCCACACUUCAUGGAGGUGACCCUCGCCUCCCCACAAGGCCUCUACCUGCGAGGUUAGUUAGUAAGCUGCAACUGGUGCCUGGUCAGUAGUUUAUUGUAGGAUGAUGACUUACCAUGAAUGAUUGCAAUUUAUUCAGAUGUGAUUGGCUGGCUGGAUGCCCUGAGAGGGAAGGGCAUGGUGGCCAAGUAUUCCUGGUCCUGCAAGAGGUAUGUACAUACAUAUACCCAUCAAUCUCGAGACCUGUCUGUUAUCCGACAAAUAUUGUGUUUAUUCGUAAGGCAUCGAUGCAAUGCAGGAGCUACAAGACUGGAUUCGUGUGGCACGAUCUGUCUGUGGAUGAUCUGCUGCUGCUCACGCAAGGAACAGAGUACGUUCUCAAGGGCUCCGAGUUCCCAUUCGACGAGUCAAAGCCUCUGCCAAUGCCAGGUAUGAAUCAUGAGCAACUGUAAUUUGUUCCUAUUUCGAACUGCUACUUAAUCAUAUCCUACUGUUUUAGAUCAUCAGCAGAAUAAUGCAGUAUGUGCAAAGGUUCAGCCCUGCAAUACACUCUGAUAUUCAUUGCAGAAGCAGAAACAACGGGAUACAUGACCUGGAUACUUGCAUUCUGACAAGUUUUUGCCCGUGCCUCAAAUAGGAAUGAUGUCCAUGCUGUUAACCUCUACAAGUUACCCACACUUCAGAUAACCCAAGGUCUGGAACCCCAACAAGUUUAGUACGUAGCAAAUGUAACUUCUUCUCUAACAAAAAUAAUAAUGAGAGGCAUGUUACCGUUAGUUUUACCCUGAGAAUUGAUCAUCAUAGAAACGCCGAUGUGUGCUUUGCAAAUCGACUGACCUUUUUUGUCUUCUGUGAAUAGAUGCUGAAUGCUAAUAUAAAUCUGCUAUAUGUCUCAGCAAAAAUGUGGACUUCAUAAUUUGUCUUUCAAUGGUGCAUAGUUCAAUUUUGUCUUCCUAAUUUAUACAGUAUCAGCUCAUAUGACGAUUUAUCUCAUAAAUAAGUAUUCACUCUUACAGCACCACCAUGCAUGUUUUCUACACUUCUGCAGCAGUCCAUCUUUCAAUUUUGAUUUGCAUAACCAUGCAUAUAUAGUGUAUUGAAGCAGCAAAUGGCAUUUACCAUGCUGCUAAAAUAAGCAUCAAAAUUGAAGAGUGUAUUGUACCAGUGGGAGAAGUUAAUGUUCCACGGAAUUGCUAAUCCCGUCUCGAAGGUUUAAUGUUUGUUAUUGACCUAAGAGAAAAUGGGUUCUGCAUCUCUGAUGUGAUGUAUUUCUAACAAACAGUGGCAAAAUGCACGGGUAAUUACUCUUAUAUAGUUUGAUGCUUGAAAAGUUGUAGAGUCGGCGCCUCUCUUUGAAGUGUACAUGAUGUAAUAAGAACAAAAAAUAAAGAAGCAUCUUGAGUACCAUGCCUAGAUACAGUGUUAAUGCCCACAACUCUAUUUUGUUCCAUUAGAAAAUACAAUUAUAUUUUGUUACAUUCAGGUAAUGUUAUAUCAUGCACGUGUGUUACAUGUGUAUCUCUCUACUUUGUGCUCCAGAUUUAUUUCCCUACAAUAUGGCAGAUUAAUGUAUAUUCUUCUGAAGUCAUAGUACAUUCAUGGUCUGUAUAUAUGUUUGUAUGCUGCCAACCUGAGUCCGGUAGGCAGCGGCUGAUUUUUUUCAUUUGCUAUAUUUAUAUUUUUCAAAGCAAUUUAAUCUCUUAUCUUGCACCCGUGAUGAACCUACAAUCUAGAGCACAAGGAAACUAUAGAUAAUUUGUUCUAUUGCCUCUGUGAACUUGAUAUAUAUACAUGUAUUGUUCGUGGCAACGCACGGGCAACGCAUGGGCACUCUACUAUAGAUAAGAGAGACAGAGGAGGAUCGGACUGAUUGGUCACUGACUGCUAUUUCUGAUAAUGUCUGCAGUGUAGGUUGAUCAGACUGUACAUACACACACAUACACCCUUAUAGUCGGAGGAUCCACGGAGAGCGAUGGAGGGGAGGGCGAGGCGGCGCGCCAGCCCGUCUGGGAUGCGCACCAAGGCAGUCAGGGUGGAGCCGGAGCCGCCACUGACGACCAAGAGGCAUGGGCCAGGGAUGAGGGCGGCGGUGGUGUACUACCUCUGCCGCAGCCACCACCUAGAGCACCCACACUUCAUGGAGGUGACCCUUGCCUCCCCACAAGGCCUCUACCUGCGAGGUUAGUUAGUAAGCUGCAACUGGUGCCUGAUCAGUUGUUUAUUGUAGGAUGAUGACUUACCAUGAAUGAUUGCAAUUUUUUCAAAUGUGAUUGGCCGGCUGGACGCCCUGAGAGGGAAGGGCAUGGUGGCCAAGUAUUCCUGGUCCUGCAAGAGGUACGUACAUACAUAUACCCAUCAAUCUCGAGACAUGUCUGUUAUCCGACAAAUAUUGUGUUUAUUCGUAAGGCAUCGAUGCAAUGCAGGAGCUACAAGACUGGAUUCGUGUGGCACGAUCUGUCUGUGGAUGAUCUGCUGCUGCUCACGCAAGGAACAUAGUACGUUCUCAAGGGCUCCGAGUUCCCAUUCGACGAGUCAAAGCCUCUGCCAAUGCCAGGUAUGAAUCAUGAGCAACUGUAAUUUGUUCCUAUUUCGAAUUGCUACUUAAUCAUAUCCUACUGUUUCAGAUCAUCAGCAGAAUAAUGCAGUAUGUGCAAAGGUUCAGCCUUGCAAUACACUCUGAUAUUCAUUGCAGAAGCAGAAACAACGGGAUACAUGACCUGAAUACUUGCAUUCUGACAAGUUUUUGGCCGUGCCUCAAAUAGGAAUGAUGUCCAUGUUGUUAACCUCUACAAGUUACCCACACUUCAGAUAACCCAAGGUCUGGAACCCCAACAAGUUUAGUACAUAGCAAAUGUAACUUCUUCUCUAACAAAAUAAUAAUGAGAGGCAUGUUACAAUUAGUUUUACCCUGAGAAUUGAUCAUCAUAGAAACGCUGAUGUGUGCUUUGCAAAUCGACUGACCUUUUUUGUCUUCUGUGAAUAGAUGUUGAAUGCUAAUAUAAAUCUGCUAUAUGUCUCAGCAAAAAUGUGGACUUCAUAAUUUGUCUUUCAAUGGUGCAUAGUUCAAUUUUGUCUUCCUAAUUUAUACAGUAUCAGCUCAUAUGACGAUUUAUCUCAUAAAUAAGUAUUCACUCUUACAGCACCACCAUGCAUGUUUUCUACACUUCUGCAGCAGUCCAUCUUUCAAUUUUGAUUUGCAUAACCAUGCAUAUAUAGUGUAUUGAAGCAGCAAAUGGCAUUUACCAUGCUGCUAAAAUAAGCAUCAAAAUUGAAGAGUGUAUUGUACCAGUGGGAGAAGUUAAUGUUCCACGGAAUUGCUAAUCCCGUCUCGAAGGUUUAAUGUUUGUUAUUGACCUAAGAGAAAAUGGGUUCUGCAUCUCUGAUGUGAUGUAUUUCUAACAAACAGUGGCAAAAUGCACGGGUAAUUACUCUUAUAUAGUUUGAUGCUUGAAAAGUUAUAGAGUCGGCGCCUCUCUUCGAAGUGUACAUGAUGUAAUAAGAACAAAAAAUAAAGAAGCAUCUUGAGUACCAUGCCCAGAUACAGUGUUAAUGCCCACAACUCUAUUUUGUUCCAUUAGAAAAUACAAUUAUAUUUUGUCACAUUCAGGUAAUGUUAUAUCAUGCACGUGUGUUACAUGUGUAUCUCUCUACUUUGUGCUCCAGAUUUGUUUCCCUACAAUAUGGCAGAUUAAUGUAUAUUCUUCUGAAGUCAUAGUACAUUCAUGGUCUGUAUAUAUGUUUGUAUGCUGCCAACCUGAGUCCGGUAGGCAGCGGCUGAUUUUUUCAUUUGCUAUCUUUAUAUUUUUCAAAGCAAUUUAAUCUCUUAUCUUGCACCUGUGAUGAACCUACAAUCUAGAGCACAAGGAAACUAUAGAUAAUUUGUUCUAUUGCCUCUGUGAACUUGAUAUAUAUACAUGUAUUGUUCGUGGCAACGCACGGGCACUCUACUAUAGAUAAGAGAGACAGAGGAGGAUCGGACUGAUUGGUCACUGACUGCUAUUUCUGAUAAUGUCUGCAGUGUAGGUUGAUCAGACUGUACAUACACACACAUACACCCUUAUAGUCGGAGGAUCCACGGAGAGCGAUGGAGGGGAGGGCGAGGCGGCGCGCCAGCCCGUCCGGGAUGCGCACCAAG
RNAcentral lists this long non-coding RNA (6208 nucleotides) under Triticum aestivum (bread wheat). Its description in RNAcentral is "long non-coding RNA (TAES_LNC027548)". The record is from RNAcentral. Lineage: Eukaryota; Viridiplantae; Streptophyta; Magnoliopsida; Poales; Poaceae.